RNAcentral lists this ribosomal RNA (253 nucleotides) under uncultured bacterium. RNAcentral describes it as "partial 16S ribosomal RNA". It matches the Rfam family "Bacterial small subunit ribosomal RNA", at positions 524 to 776 of the family's 1533-position model. The record is from RNAcentral.
UACGAAGGGGGCUAGCGUUGCUCGGAAUCACUGGGCGUAAAGCGCACGUAGGCGGACUCUUAAGUCAGGGGUGAAAUCCUGGAGCUCAACUCCAGAACUGCCUUUGAUACUGGGAGCCUUGAGUUCGGGAGAGGUGAGUGGAACUGUGAGUGUAGAGGUGAAAUUCGUAGAUAUUCGCAAGAACACCAGUGGCGAAGGCGGCUCACUGGCCCGAUACUGACGCUCAUGUACGAAAGCGUGGGGAGCAAACAGG